GUUUUCGUAGUGUAGUGGUUAUCACGUCUACCUCUCACGCAAAAGGUCCCCGGUUCGAAACCAGGCGGAAGCA
Molecule: non-coding RNA, 73 nt
Organism: Cricetulus griseus (Chinese hamster)
Lineage: Eukaryota; Metazoa; Chordata; Mammalia; Rodentia; Cricetidae
Source: the annotation of a RefSeq genome assembly